Molecule: long non-coding RNA, 6120 nt
Organism: Panonychus citri (citrus red mite)
Lineage: Eukaryota; Metazoa; Arthropoda; Arachnida; Trombidiformes; Tetranychidae
Exons: 10
Source: RefSeq, a predicted model, not a curated record
GAUAAAAAUAUCUAAUUGAAAAAUUGAAGGCAAAAAAAAAGUCAAACAAUUAACUGGACCAUCAAUUAAUGACCAUAACGUUUCCUGACUAAUUGUUUAAGUGUUGCUAAAUUGAUUGGGUGAACAAUUAAAGUCUCAAUGUUUAAAUAUAAACAACGUUUAAUUUGAAUAGUCAGUUGACUUUUUUUGUUCACCUUAUUACUUAAUCCAUAUUAAGCUAAUCACCUUUGUUAACAUAACCUCUUAUUAGAUUACCAGUUUAUUUAUUUUUAAUUGUCCUAACAAUUAGUCACCCCCAGGGUAAAUCAUCACGUUAAUCAACCCUUUUAAUCAUUGGUUUAAUAAGCCAAAAAAAAGUAUCUUUGAUCGUUUGUCCAAAGGUGUUGGUCAUUUUUACAUAAUAAUUGGAACAUAAUUUAUUAAUUGUGACUGUAAUUUCUCUGUGUGUGGGUGAAUAAUUAAUAACUAACAAUUAACGUUGUCUUCUUUUCACUCUCUCUCAAUAAUCUUUCAAUUAGUAAUCCGUUUGUUGCCAUUUUCUUCAAUUGGAAAUUUAAUUCUCUUCUAUUCUCUUUGUGCGUCCAUCUUGGAUUUCUGGAAAUUUCUAUAAACAAAAAAGAGACACCAAAGGGUUUGGAUUUUUUUCUGUUUUCCAAGGGUCCCAAAAGUCGUUCAAAAGCUCCAACAUCAAGAACUUGUUUGUGAUAUUUUUGUUAAUGAUUCCAACGGAAGGCGGAGGAAGAUGGAUCGUGUUACAUGGUGGUGAUGAUAAUUGUAUCAAAGGAAAUGGUUAUUGAGUGUGGAUGGAACAAAAUAAAAUCAAGAAUUAGUUUAUUACCAACAACAGCGAAUUAAGGCAAACCUGAAGCUCGCCCACGAGAGAAUUAAAUCAUUUUUUGACUCUCUUAAUUCUAUUUCUAAUUAGAAAUCAGAAUGAUAUUUAUAAAUGAAUUAAUGAAAGAGAGAUUCAAGAUUAUCAAGUUCUAUUACGUGUUUUCGUCAAUCAUGUUGUGGAAAAAGGAAGAAAAAAAGUCAAACCUGGAUCACGAUUAAAUCUUUAAUGGAUAUUCAAUCUUAUUUACUCUUCUAAAUCUAACAAAUCAAAGCCAUAUGUUCAAUUUUCAUUCUUAUGGAUUAACUUAUAUUUAUCUCAACUUUUGGAUUAUAUUCGAAUGAUUCAACAAAGAAUCAAUUUAACAAUAGGUUUUCUCCGGACUAGCUGUUUAUCUCGUCUUUGAUUUGUAUACAUCUACGAUCCUGAUCAUAUUCACCUCACCUGAAUCUAAUUACACAAGAUGAAGGAAAUUCUAGAAACUCAUUAAUUGACAAGAGAAAUCAAAUGUAAUGGUUUUUCUUAUAGUCAAAUGAUUAUCGUAACCAGUUGAAUUAUGGAGUUUUUAUUUCUAAUUAUGACAAUCAAUUGAUUUUGCCUUUUGGUGGUGGUGAUUGAUUGGUUAUAAGAUACUUACAUGCAGUCUUGACACCAUCAACAGCUUUAACUGACGCUGCUCGAGGUAACCAAAAUUGAAAAGAAGGAAAAAACAAAAGCAAAGAGAACCGUUAAUAGGAUUGACAACGAGUUAAUAAGCCUGACAAAGUCCAUUGAGAUGGUUGGAUGAAUAGCUUAUUUCCAAUAAUUACCUCAUCAAUUUUUGUGAUUACCACAGUUCCCUCUUCAACAAAAUACAUUCCAUCAGCCUGAUCACCCUGUGCAUGGAGAAAAAUGUAACAGCAAAAAAUCAAAUUCAAAGGAAUUAAUUCAAUGGUUCAAUUGGUUAUUUGAUUAUGAUGAUUGGAGUUUACUUUAGAUUUACCUCUUUAAUGAUGACUUCUCCACUUCGAAAUGAUUUUGGUGUCAAAGCAUCACAAAGAUUCAUCCUUUCGUAUGCCUAUGAAAUAGGUAGAAAAAGACAAAUAUUGUUACAAACUAAAUUCUAAAAGUGGAGGAAGAUUGCCAAGAGAGAGAGAGAGGGAAGAAAAAAGUUACAAAAUAACAAGAAAGAUUGACAAUUUAUUUUACCAUAAAUUGUCGUGUUUCGUAUUGUUUAUAAAUUGGUAACAUAAAUUGUUCACUCACCUCAAGAGACUUCAACAUUUCAACUCUUUCCAACAGAGCUUCAUAUGUUUUCCUUUUCUUGAAAGCUCUUGAUAAAACUAUCUUUCGAAAUGUUUGACGACUCUGGAGAAAAUAGAGGAAAGAAAAAGUCAAAGAUAAAGAUUUAGAAUUACUCUUCUUCAUGGAAUGAUUCUGGUUUCAUCGAUCCAUUGACUGAACUUUACUUGUCCAAUUGAACUUAUGUCUUAUUCUCAUACUCAUACAAUAAGAUAUACACGGUGAUCAAAUAAGCUUAAAUUAAGAUGAAACUUAUUUAUAUUUGAUUUGAUUGGAUAAUUAACUGACCAUCGCCCAAAGGGAUCCUUCAGAUUUGGCUUCAACUGAUGCUGAUCUUGGCAUGUUAUACAUAAGAGCAAGUUCACCAAAGCUUCCGGAAUCAGUGUACUCUCCAAGUUCAAUAUGUUUACCGUCAUUUGUACAGUAGAAUCUGAAAGUUCCCCUGUUAUAGAAAUGGAAGAAAAAUUUUGUUUUAGUUCGAGAAAAAAGACAAAGACAGAGGGUGAAGAGCAGAGGAAAAUUCAUAAUUUGACAUCCAAGUGAAUUAUUAACAUCAUGGAGGAAGCAAGUGCACAAAAAAACAUCAUCAUCUUAUAAUUUGAAACCUAAAUUUUUCUUUCCUUAGUAAAUUGGUAAAAAAUUUCAUGGGUUAAUACAACACCAUGAAAGGAGCAACAGAAUUGAAUCACUUCUCCCACUCAUCAUCUCUAGCAUAUUAAACAGAUUUGCGUGAUAAUGGAAUUUCUCAAAGAAAAUACCAUUAAAGGAAUCAAAUACAUUUAUGAUGCAAGACAACAUAUUAACUUUCACGUUAUGUGAUGAUGGUAGUGAUGAUAAUUCAUGAUGAAAACAGUGAGCAUAUUGAACCAAUGGAUGGAGUCACAACAAUGAUUAAAUCAAAAAAAAAGGAAAAAGCUAAGAAGAAAAGAGGAAGAAGGAUGAAGAUGAUGGAAAAAAUGAAUGAUAAUAGGGAGUGAAUUUGCUUUUCUCCAAGGUAAAUGCUGUUUGAUUAUCAUGGAAUCACUUUCUCUCUCUUUCUCUCUCCUCCUUUUCCUCUUCCUGAUUCAUGCAAAAACAGUUACAAUGAUUAUCAUUGUGUUUACAUUGCAAUAAAUCAAAAUGGCAACAACUAAUAUCACCUGUCAAAGUUUGACUGGUAAGCUGAUUACAUUGAUUCUCAAUGAGCAGAUAAGUGUAAUAAAAGCAAGAGGAUAAGGAUAAGAAGGCGGAGUAGGAAAAAAAACUAUCAAGAAAAAAAAAGGUUUCAAGUUAAGAUGAUUCUUGUUGUAUUGGAAAUAGUUCUGGGAAUGAUGAACCACUCAUUGGGAAUAAUAUAACUGUUCAUUUUAUGUGCAAUGGUUUAUUUAAGAAUCAUUCUCAUGGAUAAUAAUAGGUAUUAUAUUGGAUCAACGAGCUGUUUGAUUUAAACUAACGACAACAAUUAAUUCAUCGCUAAAUUUAUUGGUUCAUAUUUUUUUUCUACUUGAUUGAUUCAAUUGACUUUCUAUUGAAUCAUUUGAUUGAAAAUCAUCAUUUCAAUCUCAUAAUUGAUUCCUUAAUUGUAUCGUUAAUCUGAUGGUCUUUUAUCAAUGGUUAAUCCGAUGACCAGUAAUCGAGAUGAUGGAGACAAAAGAUAAAAGAUAAAAGCUUAUCAAAGUAAAAGGAAAAGGAAAAAUUGCUCAGGGAGUUAUCCUUGGUUUCUCUUUCAUCAUGGAAAAUUAUUCUGGUUUCACUUAAGAGAAUCUUUUUAUUUUCGACCCUAAGAAAAGAGGACAAUGGUCAUUACCAUCACAGCUUUGGUCAGACUUGUACUCCUAAUGAUACUAAGUAGUGGUCAAGAUUUGACUUUCAUUAGCUGGACAAACGAGAACUUAUGAGUUUGACCUUUAAUUUAGAUGUGAGGUUAAAAAGAUUUUGUUCCCUUUCUCUCUGAGCUUUAUUAUCAUUGGAAAUUGACAAUAUCUCGAUUUACAUGGGAUUCGAUUGAUAUUACAUGUAUCUAGAGUGAAAAUGUUAUUGGAGAUAAAAAGGAAAACCACAUCAGUCGAUAAUCACCAGAAAAGUUCACCUAAUUUGAUAACAAGAUGAGUUUACAAUUUAUCUUCUCAGAAGUUUCUUUUUAGAUGAGAUGAUGAAGAUAAUGAAUCAAUUCUAAUCCAUGAAAUGUUACCUUAAUCAGAAACUUUCUUCAUCUAAUUAACUGUCACCUUAACAUUUAUCACUCUCACAAGACUAACCAAAUAUUUACCUCGCAUCAAUGUUAAGCUAUAAUUAAUAAUAACAAUUAAAUGAGCGUUCAAAUUCAAUUAGUUGUUAUCAUAUUAAUGAUUAGCUGAAAAACUCUAGAAAAUCAUAGAUAAAACUUGAUUAACGAAAAAGAGAGGAAAAAACUAAUCAAUAAUCAGUAUUAACAAUUAACAUGUUUCAUCAACUAAUUGAUUUAUUAGAAAAAAAUAAAUGAACUAAAUUUCAUGACUAAUUAAUUGUUAAUCAAUCUAAUUAACAUCUACUUAUUUUUACCUUCUUACUUAUAGAUUACAAUGUUUAUCUAGUUUGUAAUCACAAAAUUAACCAACAAUUUAUUUCAUCUGAUGAUUUAUGAAAACCCCACCGGGGAGUUUUUCAUGAAAGACCCAAAAAGAUAAUCUCAUGAUAAAUUCAUAUUAACAUUAAUCAGAAUGAUUUAUAUUAUUUGAGAAUUGAAAUUUGAAUCCAUGGUGAAAAUAUGAAUUUCAUUUGAAUAGUAACUGAUUUGUUGAAUUGGUUCAUCUUAUCAACCAGAUUAAUGAUAUAUUUCAAUUAAUUAUAUUACAAAAAUGGUUGCAUGUUGCUUUGAGCUUGUUUCAAAUUCAUUGGUGACUUGAACUUUUAUACCUUUGGUGUAUUACGAGUACACCAUGAAUAACACCACCAUCACCAGAUUAUACAUUUUGAUAGUGAAAACUAUGUUACCUUGAUUAUAUUGCCUUAAGGGUUUUAACCCAAAUCCUUUGUGAAUAAUCAUGCUGUAUUUAUGAUGUUAAUAGUUACAUAUUUCAAAUAUCCGAUUUAUCCCUUUGAAUUUAUCAUGAUGAAUUUUAAUAGGAAAACAAAAUAGUCUUUUCCACCCAAUGAACUUUUCACUCUUUCCAUACCUCUCCCACCCAUCUAUUCAUAUUAGUAUCAUGAUUUCUUUCAGUAUGUGUCCCAAUUACCCUGACAAUUUUGUCUUGGAGGCUUUUGUAGUUAUAUUUAAGGGGAAAAAGUUCUGAUUCUCACCAUGAUUAGCAUUCACUUUAUCAUCUGAUUUGUCAACAUUUUGAAUUCAUUGUUUUCUCUCAUAAAUUGAUCUGAAUCUUUUUCUAGUUUUUUUUUAUUGUUCAUGUCAAUUAGUGAAAUAAGUGUGAAAAAAGUUCUACAGGCAAUUAACAAGUUUACAAACUUGAUUUUCACCCAGAAUUUAAUGAGUCUUUCAUGGUGAUGAGAAAUAGUCAUGUUUUCAUCUCUCUGUUUAAUCAUGAAUACUCACACUGAUUGUGAAACUAAAAUGAACUACAAUCAAGCUGAUUACUAUAAGAUUAUCGAUAUUAAUCAACGAUUGAUUAGUAAAUCAUGUAACCAUGACGAUUAUUAAUUUGGUAUCUUUAAUCAUCUUUAUACAAAACUGAUAAUCUCAAUUGCUGGAAUAAUUUAUAUUCAUAUUAAUUAUUAAAUCUCCUUUUAUACUAAUCAGAUUACAACAAUCAAUUUUGAUUAAUAUCGUUGUUUUAUCAUUGGUCACUAAUUAUACGUAAUUUUGAUCAUUUUCAUAAUGAUUAUCAUUGAUUUUUAGUUUAUUAUCAAAUUGAUUUGAUUGUUAAUCAGUUUUGCUAAUCAGUUGCUAAUCAAGGUUUGAACUUAAUGAUUCCCUUGACACAAUUUAAUUGAUUCUGAUUAUCAUUCCUAAUGGUUGACCUGUUUCAAUAUAAACAUUUCGCUUGGAUAAUCAAGUAUCAGAAAUGAAAUUAAAUUAGAUGACCACUUGAAAA